CAGCAGCCACGGUAAUACAGAGGGUGCGAGCGUUAAUCGGAUUUACUGGGCGUAAAGCGUGCGUAGGCGGCUUCUUAAGUCGGAUGUGAAAUCCCUGAGCUUAACUUAGGAAUUGCAUUCGAUACUGGGAAGCUAGAGUAUGGGAGAGGAUGGUAGAAUUCCAGGUGUAGCGGUGAAAUGCGUAGAGAUAUGGAGGAAUACCGGUGGCGAAGGCGGCCACCUGGACAAAGACUGACGCUCAGGUGCGAAAGCGUGGGGAGCAAACAGGAUUAGAUACCCCCGUAGUCCCUGUCUCUUAUAC
Molecule: ribosomal RNA, 301 nt
Filed under: uncultured bacterium
Lineage: Bacteria
Description: partial 16S ribosomal RNA
Rfam family: Bacterial small subunit ribosomal RNA
Source: RNAcentral